Molecule: ribosomal RNA, 850 nt
Filed under: Pediococcus acidilactici
Lineage: Bacteria; Bacillati; Bacillota; Bacilli; Lactobacillales; Lactobacillaceae
Description: bacterial SSU rRNA
Rfam family: Bacterial small subunit ribosomal RNA
Source: RNAcentral
GCAAUACGGUUCGGAUUAUUGGGCGUAAGCGAGCGCAGGCGGUCUUUUAAGUCUAAUGUGAAAGCCUUCGGCUCAACCGAAGAAGUGCAUUGGAAACUGGGAGACUUGAGUGCAGAAGAGGACAGUGGAACUCCAUGUGUAGCGGUGAAAUGCGUAGAUAUAUGGAAGAACACCAGUGGCGAAGGCGGCUGUCUGGUCUGUAACUGACGCUGAGGCUCGAAAGCAUGGGUAGCGAACAGGAUUAGAUACCCUGGUAGUCCAUGCCGUAAACGAUGAUUACUAAGUGUUGGAGGGUUUCCGCCCUUCAGUGCUGCAGCUAACGCAUUAAGUAAUCCGCCUGGGGAGUACGACCGCAAGGUUGAAACUCAAAAGAAUUGACGGGGGCCCGCACAAGCGGUGGAGCAUGUGGUUUAAUUCGAAGCUACGCGAAGAACCUUACCAGGUCUUGACAUCUUCUGCCAACCUAAGAGAUUAGGCGUUCCCUUCGGGGACAGAAUGACAGGUGGUGCAUGGUUGUCGUCAGCUCGUGUCGUGAGAUGUUGGGUUAAGUCCCGCAACGAGCGCAACCCUUAUUACUAGUUGCCAGCAUUCAGUUGGGCACUCUAGUGAGACUGCCGGUGACAAACCGGAGGAAGGUGGGGACGACGUCAAAUCAUCAUGCCCCUUAUGACCUGGGCUACACACGUGCUACAAUGGAUGGUACAACGAGUCGCGAAACCGCGAGGUUUAGCUAAUCUCUUAAAACCAUUCUCAGUUCGGACUGUAUGCUGCAACUCGCCUACACGAAGUCGGAAUCGCUGUAAUCGCGGAUCAGGCGCCGCGUGAAUACUCCCCCCGGGGCGCAUGAAAA